RNAcentral lists this ribosomal RNA (464 nucleotides) under uncultured bacterium. Its description in RNAcentral is "partial 16S ribosomal RNA". It matches the Rfam family "Bacterial small subunit ribosomal RNA", at positions 28 to 506 of the family's 1533-position model. The record is from RNAcentral.
GACGAACGCUGGCGGCGUGCUUAACACAUGCAAGUCGUACGGUAAGGCCCUUUCGGGGGUACACGAGUGGCGAACGGGUGAGUAACACGUGAGUAACCUGCCCACAACUUUGGGAUAACGCUAGGAAACUGGUGCUAAUACUGGAUAUGUGCUCCUGCUGCAUGGUGGGGGUUGGAAAGCUCCGGCGGUUGUGGAUGGACUCGCGGCCUAUCAGCUUGUUGGUGGGGUAGUGGCCUACCAAGGCGGCGACGGGUAGCCGGCCUGAGAGGGUGACCGGCCAAAUUGGGACUGAGAAACGGCCCAGACCCCUACGGGGGGCAGCAGGGGGGAAUAUUGCACAAGGGGCGAAAGCCUGAUGCAGCAACGCCGGGUGCGGGAUGACGGCCUUCGGGUUGUAAACCGCUUUCAGCGGGGACGAAGCUUUUUGGGACGGUACCUGCAAAAGAAGCACCGGCUAACUACGU